Molecule: long non-coding RNA, 1918 nt
Organism: Chenopodium quinoa (quinoa)
Lineage: Eukaryota; Viridiplantae; Streptophyta; Magnoliopsida; Caryophyllales; Amaranthaceae
Exons: 3
Source: RefSeq, a predicted model, not a curated record
AGCUAUAAAUUCCGAGGGAAAAAAUCCGUCGGAACAAAUAAUAAAAAAAAAAUUAAAAACACUUAACCCUAAAAAAACCGGAACACCCCACACCCCCUCCCCUUCAUUUUUCUUUUCUCUCUCCUCUCCUCUCUCUCCGCCUCUCUUCUCUUUCUCUCUCCUCUCUGCUUCUCUUUCUCUCUUCUCUCCUCUUUCCUUCCAUUCUCCUUUUGUCGUUCUUUCCCCUUCUCCUCUUCCUAGUUAUAUCAUCAAGCAAAUGAAGAUGCGCUUGAUUCCGUGAACAAAUCCAUCUUAAUGUUGGAUUUCGCACAGGGGAGAAGAAGAAUUUUCGGAAUGGGGGAUCCUCGCUGGCAACACUCCUCUGUUUGAGGUGCCCUAUCAUUGCGUUUCCUUUCUUCGAUCUCCUCCUUCUCUCCUCUUCCUUCCCCUCUUUGAUUUCAUACGACACAACAACGACACCACCGCAACGACAACAACAACAACGACACCAGCAGCAACGAAACAACAACAACAACAACAACAUUCGUGUUCCUUAAUAUGGAUGAUGAUACUACUACUACUUCUACGGCACGUGAUGAUGGAUAUAAUGAAUACAUUACUCCGCAACGAAAGAGAAAGAAGAGGUCUAAAGUUUGGAGAGAGCUUAUUGAAGGGAAGAAUGUUUAAGGUGCAUGGAUGGUGCAUCGCCAUUUUCUUGAGGCGGAGAAAGGUCCUUAUGAUUAUUUAAAGGAAAUGGUGAAACCAAUGCUUGAAAAAUUUGACAAGUAUUGGUCGGAUUACAAUUUGUACUUGUCAUUUCCGCCAUUCUUGAUCCGAGGUACAAAGUGAAAUUUGUGGAAUAUAUAUGGAAGUGUAGAGGCCUCAAGACGAAUUAACUUGGUGUUGGGAACUAUGAAGUCAAUGUUUAAAGACUAUAAGUUGCAAUAUGCUAGUAGUUCACCUAUUGUAGUUGCUCCUUCUCCUCCUAGUACUUCCGGAGCUAGAAACUACUUUGAUGAUUAUGACCAUUUUGUCGGUACUAGUGCAAGAUCUCAAGUAGGAAAGUCACAACUUGUGAUGUACCUAGAUGAUGAUGCUUUAGAUCUCAAUUCACAACUAGAUAUUUUGGAGUUUUGGCAUCAAAGUUCUGUGAGGUAUCCUGUGGUGUCUAAGAUGGCACGGGAUUUGUUGACUAUUCCUAUAAGUACUGUAGCUUCGGAGUCUGCUUUUAGUAUUGGAGGAAAGACUGUUUCGGCAUCGCGAAGUUCAUUAAAGUCAAAAACAAUUCAAGCUUUAGUAUGUAAGCAAGAUUGACAUUGUGAAAGCAAUCAAGUAGAGGUUGAUAGUGAACUUGAAGAUGAAAUCAUUGAAGAAGAAGAGGAUGAUGAUGUAGACCCUUUCUACUAGGUUGAUAUGUUGUUCCUUAUUUGUCUCGAAUUAUUGAUUAUUAUUCUUGUUGUAGUUAUAUAAUUCUACUGUAAUGAGAGCCAUCAAAAUAAAAAAAAGUAGUAAAGAUUUGCUUGGCAGUGUGUAGAUUUCCACUAACAACAUUUGAUAGCUUUUAUAUGUUUGUCUAUCAAAAGCAAUAAUGGAAAUUAAAGGUAAUGUAACCAUUUGGAAUUUAUGCUUUCCAUCAGGAUCAUCAUCAUGAGGCUUAGCAUUUUCACUGGCAACUGGUAUGCACAGGAACUGAUAGCAGAAAGUAGAAGUUAAUGCCCGUUUCACUUUUACCUCGAUCUGACCCGCAUUGACCCUGACCCGCUAAAUAUUCAUCUUGACCCGCAACCGACCCACCCCGCUAAUGACCCGCUCUAACCCGCCCAAUAACCACCCCUAUCUAUGAUCUAUACUUCCCUCAUUUCUCCACCCAUAAUAUAUCUCAACUCCAGAUCAAUUUGAGACUCGUUAUCAUCCUCGGUCAAAUAACUACGCCAUGAAG